AGGCUGCGCUGCGCGGAUAUAAACGGCGACUUUGUCAGUCUUGUUGUCGCUGCCUGCUACAUGCAGCUCCCAGCCAUGGAGUCGCUAAAGGUUGAGAGCGGUUGUUUACCCCUGACGGGUCGCCGCUGUUCUCCAGCAGCGAGACUUCCCCCUAACAUGGAGCGCCAGACAUCUCUCAAAAGGCUGGCAAUCCGCGUUCCCUCUGAGUGCAGCUCCCUACUCCCUAGACUUCUCUCGUGUUGCCCGAACUUGGCAACUUUGGCCCUUAGUAUACAGUGUCGCAGCAAUACCCGCUUAGAGCAAAUGCUGUUAUCGAAUGCUCUUAACCUCUGCCAAGAGACAAUUACUACACUCGAACUCGAUUGCGAAUACGGCGAAUGUAGGGGAUAUUUUGAAUGUUGUCCCAUUGUCUUCCGCCCUCUAAAGUGUUUACGGACUCUGAAGAUAGAGGUGUUGUUUCUUUUCACUGACGAGGAGAGAGGCGAUCCAACUUUGCGGAACGACAUUCAUCAAUGGCUGCCUACAUCGUUAGAAUAUUUGGAGCUUCUCUUCCAGCAUACCUGUCGGGCCUUUGAAACUACGGCUAGAUCUGCCGCUGAUGGCACUUCGCCCGUCACCCCUCCUGCUACUUACAAGCCUGAAUAUGUCAACUGGCUUCUACAAAUUGGAAUGAACAAAGAAGCCCGCCUGCCCAAACUGGUGCACGUUUGUGUGCGAGAGGGCAAUAAUGGCUCGCCCAGUCCGUACAAGGUUUCCAAGUUGCCAGC
This 767-nucleotide small RNA is filed under the name Histoplasma capsulatum var. duboisii H88. Its description in RNAcentral is "Histoplasma capsulatum H88 hypothetical RNA". The record is from RNAcentral. Lineage: Eukaryota; Fungi; Ascomycota; Eurotiomycetes; Onygenales; Ajellomycetaceae.